GGGUGGGUGAUUCAUGUUCCACAAUGGACGGAUUUAUCCCAACACUUUUGAGGCUGACCUUUUGAUGACAACGGCUUGUUGAAAAGUGAGGAGUCUUCCUUAUGGGAUGUUAGCUUUUUGCUUGAUAGCCCGACCUUGCUCAUAUUUUUCUUUCGAUGACUUCGGCCUUUUGAUGACCUUUUGAGGUUGACCUUCUGAUGACCUAGGCCUUGG
Molecule: long non-coding RNA, 213 nt
Filed under: Elaeis guineensis (African oil palm)
Lineage: Eukaryota; Viridiplantae; Streptophyta; Magnoliopsida; Arecales; Arecaceae
Description: long non-coding RNA (EGUI_LNC047391)
Source: RNAcentral